Molecule: transfer RNA, 85 nt
Filed under: Lentisphaerota bacterium
Lineage: Bacteria; Pseudomonadati; Lentisphaerota
Description: Lentisphaerae bacterium tRNA-Tyr
Rfam family: tRNA
About the family: Transfer RNA (tRNA) molecules are approximately 80 nucleotides in length. Their secondary structure includes four short double-helical elements and three loops (D, anti-codon, and T loops). Further hydrogen bonds mediate the characteristic L-shaped molecular structure. tRNAs have two regions of fundamental functional importance: the anti-codon, which is responsible for specific mRNA codon recognition, and the 3' end, to which the tRNAs corresponding amino acid is attached (by aminoacyl-tRNA synthetases). tRNAs cope with the degeneracy of the genetic code in two manners: having more than one tRNA (with a specific anti-codon) for a particular amino acid; and 'wobble' base-pairing, i.e. permitting non-standard base-pairing at the 3rd anti-codon position.
Source: RNAcentral
GGUGGGGUUCCCGAGCGGUCAAAGGGGGCAGACUGUAAAUCUGCUGGCUAAGCCUUCAGUGGUUCGAAUCCACUCCCCACCACCA